This 788-nucleotide long non-coding RNA is filed under the name Eptatretus burgeri (inshore hagfish). RNAcentral's name for it is "lncRNA (ENSEBUG00000017376.1)". Lineage: Eukaryota; Metazoa; Chordata; Myxini; Myxiniformes; Myxinidae. The record is from RNAcentral.
GAGCUUAUAGGGUGGGUGAUCCUUUGGGAAUUCUCACUGUUUCUCCGUUCACGAGUCGUUCUUAUACCGGGCCGUGAUGUACGAAGUUAGUGUGAAGAACUGAAGCUGUGCUUCAGCGGAGAAAGCCCGGUCCUGUGGGAGUCGCUGGACAUUGAAUGGCCCAAUGCGACAGAAUGCGUGGCUGCUGGGAAUCUCGUGUGUGACAUGAAGUGAGGCGGUGUAUCCGUGGCAGUGUGGCGACUACCCACUUGCAUGAAGGCACACCGGGCUGGUCAACAAGAGCUCUGCGUUGUUGCUGCUGUUGUUCUUGGAGUUCUUGUUGGGGGUCGACUUUUGAAAUGUGCAUCCAUUGGUCGGACAGCUACCGGAUCAUUCCUACAUUGGUCGCUUGACUCCACCCACUAUGGUGGGUUUCAGAAGGUGGAAUGGAGUCCUCCCAGGUCCAAAAGUAUCCACGUCAAUUUCGCGUGUUUUACAGGUAAUGCUGCGGGUGAAGACGGAAAGUGCUUGUGGCUGAAAAAGGGAAAGAUGGCAGAAGGAUGGAUCCGGCAGAGUUUAAUCUCCGAUGUCAGCAGAAAACAGAAGUCAGACCGCUGUCCUUGAAGGAAACUACAAAUCGAUGCACGGUUUUCUGCAGCAAAUUUCUCAAACUGAUUUUAUUCUACCGUGUUGAUAUAUUGCAUCUCACUCAGAAAAUAUAUUAUGGUGAGUCAAUAAUUCAAGGAAAUAGGUACAAGAUUCAUAUUGAGUGGAGACAUUAUGAAAUGUCUAAUGCUUAUUAAUUGAAU